AUUAAAAAAUGCGUACUUGCAAUUUAAAAAUCCGUACGCGCCUUUUUUAAAAUUUUAUUAUUUGAAUUUAUUUAUUUAUUUAAAAUUAAUAAAUUGUCUCAGCUGCAAAGUACAUUAGCACUCAUAUUUUACCAACAACAAACUGACUUGACAAUUGAGUUUACGUCACAAGUAUUUAUUUACAGUAUUAGAUAGUUUGUAAACAUGUUUAUUUAUAAAUUUUUAAUAAUAAUAUCAUUAACAUUAAAUACUAUCGUUAAUACUGAGGAAGAAUUUUGUUCUAUAGACAAAAAGUCAUGUUCUGAAGAUAAAAAACUUGAAGAAUUGAUAGAUUUAAAUAACGACUAUAAAGAUUAUUAUGCAGCAAUAACACAAGCCGAGGAUGAUUAUCAAGAAUGUAAAGCUAAAAAAUGCGGUUGUUUUACUGACGUUAUCGAGCAAGAUCUAAAAUCAUUUAAAUCAGAUCGUAUCAGCAAAAAAUUAAUUGAUUAUUCAUUAUCUAGAGCGACUAUUUAUCAGAUAAUUGAUGGAAAAUUAUAUAGAGCUAAAGACUGUAUGUUUCCAUCAAGAUGCGCUGGGAUAGAGCAUUUUAUUUAUAAAGUAAUUGAUAAUGUGACAGACACUGAGUUUUUGAUAAAUACCAGAGACUAUCCCCAAUCAAGUAGGCAUUUUGGAACAGCACUUCCAAUAUUUUCUUUCAGUAAAACUCCGGAUUACUAUGACAUCAUUUAUCCCGCCUGGUCCUUCUGGGAAGGAGGUCCUGCAAUCUCACUGUAUCCUCGUGGUCUAGGUCGAUGGGAUCAGCACAGGAAGUCUUUAGACAAAGCGAGUCAGGAAUAUCCUUGGGAGAGUAAAAAAUCUCAGGGAUUUUUUCGUGGCUCGCGAACAAGUUCUGAGCGUGACAAUUUAGUUUUGUUGAGUCGGGAUCAUCCGGAACUGGUUGAUGCUCAGUAUACUAAGAAUCAAGCUUGGAAAUCUGAUGAAGAUACACUUCAUAGACCACCAGCACCAGAAGUCUCGCUAGAAGAUCAUUGUAAAUUCAAAUAUUUAUUUAAUUAUCGCGGUGUCGCGGCAUCAUUCAGACACAAGCAUUUAUUUUUAUGUAACUCAUUGGUCUUCCAUGUGGGCGACGAGUGGACUGAAUUUUACUACUCGGCAAUGAAACCCUGGAUCCAUUAUAUUCCAGUACCCAAAGAUGCGAGUAAACGAGAACUAGAACGACUAAUUAAAUUUGCACGAGACAAUGAUGGAAUAUCACGUAAAAUAGCACAGCGUGGUCGUGAUUUUAUCUGGAAAAAAUUACGGAUGUCAACAAUCGACUGUUAUUGGAAAAAAUUAUUGCAAAAAUACACGAAACUUCUGACUUACAAACCAGUAAAGAGAGACAACAUGCAGCCAAUCAGUCGGAGAUGAUAAUAAUCGUCAUUUGACCUUAAAAUAUAUAUUAUAUAUGUACCCGGGAACUAAUAACCAGCGAUUUUUCGGUUCACUGACCGGUUGGUUAAAUUCCGUGAUUCGCAGGCCAAUUGAAUGAUCAAUAUUCGUAAUGUGGCCGUUAAAUUAUUUCUGUAUACCAAAUAAAAUUGUCUUGACUCUUUAAUUUAAUAUAAUUUUUUUUUCUUUAUGAUUCGGAGGAUCGGGAUAAAGGAUUUAAAAAUAAAUCGAGCAUUCAUAAAAUUAUUACUUAUGAUUAAGUGCUCCAUAAUAAGUGCUCGUGCAAACAAUAAGAAAUAAAAUCUAAAUAAACACGUGCAGAAAAAAAAACACGUGCAUGAGUGGAGAUAAUUAUAAAUAAAUCGUGCGGUAAAUAAUAUUCUACCAUCGUAAAGUGAAAGGAAUUUAAAAAGAAUUGUCUGUACAAUGGGUAAUUUAUGUUAGAAAGGGCGAGUGGUUUUUAAAUAAAUAAAAAAAGGUAUAGGUACAGGUAAAGGUAUAGAUUAAUCAAGUUCCAAAUCAACGCAACCGUAAAACCGCAUUGAUUUUAAAUAAAUAAUUAAAUUUAAACCAUGCACCUCAAACAGUGGGUGUUUUAUAUUUUCAUUGUGUGUAUAAUUUUUUUUAACCGUUGGAAUGACGACUCCGUGCGAUAUUUUACCUCUGUUAUGUGUUUUUAAUUAAAAACAUUUUUUUCAUUUUAUUUUUUAAAGACAAAUUAGUAAAUAAUUUUUCUUUUUAUUUUUUAAAAGCGAUUAUGAAAUGAGAUGUUGUUAAUUAAUUAGUUAAGUUGAGUAAUUGUAAUUAGUAAUGCAACAAAUAAUUAUUUAAAUGGAAACACAAAUUAAUAUCCCAAGCGGUCGUAUGCGAUUAAGUUUUAAAAUAAAAUAAUUAGUAUAAAGAAUUAAGGAAUAAAUAUUUUAAAAUAUCUUAUGUUUAAAUAUUUACUCUGGUAAACUGCAGACCUGGCGUUUUCAUUGGCGAUUUAAAUAUUUUUACUAACAUUAGAUUAAUUUUAUUUAUUUCAAAUAUUUAUCACCUGGCUGAUGUGGCGGGCUGACUAAUAAAUUAUUCAAAUAUUUAAAAGAAGCUAAAAUUAUUUUGAAAAAUAUAUAUAAUCUAUAAAUAAUAAAUAUAUAUAUAGUUGUUAGUAUUUGUAAAAAUACACGAUAAUUUAAACUGCAAUUAUAUAAAUUAAUAGUUAGUACCUCCACCUGACUCGACACAUCUCAAUCGCUUCGAGUUAAUUUUUUUUUUUAUCUUUUUGCAGAAUAAUAAAUGUCAGUUAUCAUUUUUUGUCGCGUAUGUUUUUUUUUAAAUUUUUUUCUCAAUAAUGGAAGUAAAAAAUGUGAGAUCAAAGAGUGACAUCGGUAGAUAUGACCGGAAGUUGUAGAACUGAUUGAAUUCACAGGAUGAGACAGUUAUAAACUCAACAGAACACGUGUAAUAAUUUUUUUAUUCUAUUUUUAUAAUAAAAGCAUUAAUGUUGCGUCACAUCCCGUAAUAUUAACGUGUGCUAAUCUGUGUUAUAAAAUACGGUUAUAAACUUAGACAAUAAAUUUAUUAUAACUUAAGUUUUUAUAGACUCGAAGCUUAUGAGAGCUUAAGCUAAUUAUGUAUAUAAAUAUAAACAUAUAUUUAUAUGUAAGCCCCAAACACUAGCCAGGUUUUUUUGAAUAAAAAAAAAAAAGCAUAUUUUGCUUAGCAGAAAAUUAUACUGGACUUGAUUUCCAAUAAAGUCAAGUACCUGCAUCAAAAAUAAUGUCACCGAUAUCAUCACCCUCAUGAUUACUGUCAUCGCCAAGGAAACCGCCGGCGUUAGUGUCCAAGUUUCCAGACUCCGUAUCAUUUAUUGAGUAAUUAUUUUUCCAUGCGAUAUUACCUAGUGUCCCUCGACUCGCAGAUUUACAUCCGAACCACCAGAACGCUGUUGCUCUCGGGAACGCUGGUUCAGCCACAUCGACCUGCGACAAAAACAAACGAUUAAAGUCUCAGACCGUUGGUACAAAUAGACAUUUAAAAAUUAACGAUAACUUACGGAGAAUGUCCGGUCGUUAAACCGAUAGUACGCAUUGUCUUUGAAGAAAUACGUGUACCCGUGAUAAGUUAAGGCUGCGUCGACAUUAUUGGGUACUCCUUCCCAAUUAGAAAUUAAUUUCGGAUAUGUACUUUUAACUGGGGGUCGUUGAGCGGGAUCGAAUCUCCAGAAUUUAGUUCCUUUGUAAAAGUAAAUUUUUCCGUUGCCCGUCCAUACGGUCACUGCGUCAAUAUUGUCGGGUAUUCCGGUGAAUCCUUCGCUGAUGUCCUUCGGGUAGUCGCCGUCAAUUCUCUUCCCUACGUACCUCCAGUACUUAGAUCCCUACAAGCGAUUUUUAAGAAGAUAAAUAUCAUAGGCUGUAAUUAUAAAGAACUAGACCGAUGGAGAGAUGGUUAGUUUUUUUUUAUUACCUUGAAGAAAUAUGUUUUGCCGUUCUUGUACGUAAAAGCGGCAUCGAUUUUCCCUGGCAAUCCUUUCCAGGAACUACUUAUCAGUCUAGGAUACCCGCUGGCCACACCGUCGUCCGUUAACAUCCAGUAGUAAUCGCCUGUAAA
RNA transcript from Microplitis mediator, 4026 nucleotides. It is a transcript of the gene named O-glucosyltransferase rumi homolog, with no coding region annotated. The record is from RefSeq and is a predicted model, not a curated record. Lineage: Eukaryota; Metazoa; Arthropoda; Insecta; Hymenoptera; Braconidae. The transcript has 7 exons.